AAGCUGCAGGAUCAGGCUCUCGGAGUUUCACUCCCUCAAAGGCAGGGGAUGUUCCUUACGGCAGCGCACGUCUCGCCUGUGAGCCCAAACCCGCAUCCGCAGCUCCCGCUGCCGGGAAAGGGACAGGUUUUCUCCCUGCUGACGCUCGCCCGCGCCCGAGCCGAAUGCUAACAGGUCUCUUACUUGCGUCUCGCCUCGCCACCGCCUCAUGCUCUACAGGGGAAUAUUGUGUUCCCCGAGCGGACGAGCCGUCCGGCCAUCGCUCCGCGAUGAUUCAGCAAGGGGGUGGCUCCCCGUCGGAAGGCACACCUACCGCGAACUGUCAUACCACGGGGCUGGCUGAAAAGGGGAGAAGUUGCUCUAGCUAUCAUGGCUGCACUUUCUGAAAUGCGUAGACCUGGCCUGGUAAGGUCGAGGCAGACUCCAGUGCGGUGGCAAGAAUGAACAAAUGCGCAUGUCUUCAUAAGAGUCAAAAAAAAAAAGAAAGGGGGGGAAUAAGAUGCCCCCUCCCGUCGGGCUCCUCUGGCGGCCGCGGCGGCAGGGCAGCCCCCGGGACUCCCUGCCGCUUUCGCACCAGCAAAAGUCCGCUCGCAGCCUGCCCUGAGCAGGCGCUUCGCAACGCUGCGAGGCGUUCGCGGCUCAGGCAGCGCCUGCAACACUUUCCGGAUGCAAAAAAGAUUAGUUUUGCUGCGUA
This is a long non-coding RNA of Colius striatus (speckled mousebird), 694 nucleotides long. RefSeq lists it as uncharacterized. The transcript has 2 exons. The record is from RefSeq and is a predicted model, not a curated record. Lineage: Eukaryota; Metazoa; Chordata; Aves; Coliiformes; Coliidae.